RNAcentral lists this ribosomal RNA (243 nucleotides) under uncultured Actinomyces sp. RNAcentral describes it as "partial 16S ribosomal RNA". It matches the Rfam family "Bacterial small subunit ribosomal RNA", at positions 250 to 510 of the family's 1533-position model. Lineage: Bacteria; Bacillati; Actinomycetota; Actinomycetes; Actinomycetales; Actinomycetaceae. The record is from RNAcentral.
GGGCUGGGGUACGGCUACCAGCCGAUGACGGGUAGGGGGCGUGAGAGCGUGGCCCCCCACACGGGGACUGAGACACGGCCCCGACGCCUACGGGCGGCAGCAGUGAGGAAUCUUGCGCAAUGGGGGAAACCCUGACGCAGCGACGCCGCGUGCGGGAGGAAGGCCUUCGGGUCGUAAACCGCUUUUCUGGGGGACGAGACAAGGACGGUACCCCAGGAAGAAGUCCCGGCUAACUACGUGCCA